AUACGGAGGGUGCAAGCGUUGUUCGGAAUCACUGGGCGUAAAGGGCGCGCAGGCGGUUUGGUAAGUCAGAUAUGAAAGCCCACGGCUCAACCGUGGAAGUGCAUUUGAAACUGUCAGACUUGAGUACUAGAGGGGAAAGUGGAAUUCCCGGUGUAGAGGUGAAAUUCGUAGAUAUCGGGAGGAAUACCGGUGGCGAAGGCGACUUUCUGGCUAGAUACUGACGCUGAGGCGCGAAAGCGUGGGGAGCAAACAGGAUUAGAAACCCUAGUAGUCC
This 274-nucleotide ribosomal RNA is filed under the name uncultured bacterium. RNAcentral's name for it is "partial 16S ribosomal RNA". It matches the Rfam family "Bacterial small subunit ribosomal RNA", at positions 523 to 796 of the family's 1533-position model. The record is from RNAcentral.